CUUUCUUGCAAAUAACCUGUUAGUUAUUCACAUUUGAACAGAUCUUUCUUCUCAUUUUAAGAUAUUGCAAACUCAGCCUUGUGCAACUUAAUACAUUUUUGAAGAAUUACUUCAUUAUGUUUAUUCUAAUAUAGUAUAAUUUCUCUGUGGAGUGCUACUUUUGCUUCAGAGAGUCAUAAGAAGCUCAACAAGUACUGAAGUUUCAUGUUUGCAGAUGUGAAAACAGAGGUACUCAUUAUAGCUAAUAGACAUUGACAGGAAAGUCAUUAAAAUAAUAUUUUGUAAUAAAAAGUAAGAGAAAUGAGAAAAUCAUUACUCUGAAGUACAUCUAUGUAGAAAACCUGGGUAUUUUGAUACCAGAGCAUUCUGAAAUAUUUAAGGCUCUCAAAUACAAGAAGAGAAGCACUUAGCAUAAAAUGAUUAAAAAAGCAUAAAAAAAAAUCCAAACAAUAUUGUUUGGAUAAGUAUCCAGAUUUUAUAUGAGUAUGAAAUCAAUAUAUCAAAAUUGCUGUCAAAGAAAAACUUGUAGAGAACUCUAUCUUAAGCUGGUAUUAAUAAUAACUUCUUGUGUUUUGUUUGUUUUUCCUUAUCUGGGUGCUUGUAGCUGCAGGAGGAUAUAAGAUAACCGUAACACACAAACCCAAAUUGUUCUGACAGUUAAUUCCAUAAUGGGCUGUUACUUGUUUAAGAUAGCUUCAUCUCUGAUUCUGAUGUUUCCGGUAAUAAACUUUCCUAAAUUAGUCAUCCUCAGAGUUAGGUAAGCAUUCCCUAAGGCAGAUAGGUCUUCAUAGACAGCUUUCAAGAUUAGAACAAAGGAUAGGAAUGAAUCACAGAAGAUCAAGGCUAGUCAACACAACCAAGUUUAUACUAAUGAGAGCUCUGCAAGUCAACCAUGUGAACAUAUGUGUAUUCACUUUAUGUGCAGGAUGAAGUCUGGUUUUGCUUAUUAACCUAAAGCUGUACAGAGAGAGAGAAAUCUGUCUAAAUGUGAAGAUUACUUGGUCACUUAUUUAGAGGAUUUAAAUUACAGCAUUGAAUUGUGCAUUGACCCCUCCUAAAAACCUUCUUUUUAUUUCACUUUUAGACCAUCCUGGCUACAAAGCAUAU
Long non-coding RNA from Gallus gallus (chicken), 1107 nucleotides. The record is from Ensembl. Lineage: Eukaryota; Metazoa; Chordata; Aves; Galliformes; Phasianidae.